UACGGGGGGGGCAAGCGUUGUUCGGAAUUACUGGGCGUAAAGGGCUCGUAGGCGGCCAACUAAGUCAGACGUGAAAUCCCUCGGCUUAACCGGGGAACUGCGUCUGAUACUGGAUGGCUCGAGUUUGGGAGAGGGAUGCGGAAUUCCAGGUGUAGCGGUGAAAUGCGUAGAUAUCGGGAGGAACACCUGCGGCGAAAGCGGCUCACUGGACCACAACUGACGCUGAGGCGCGAAAGCUAGGGGAGCAAACAGG
This 253-nucleotide ribosomal RNA is filed under the name uncultured bacterium. Its description in RNAcentral is "partial 16S ribosomal RNA". It matches the Rfam family "Bacterial small subunit ribosomal RNA", at positions 524 to 776 of the family's 1533-position model. The record is from RNAcentral.